Molecule: ribosomal RNA, 460 nt
Filed under: uncultured bacterium
Lineage: Bacteria
Description: partial 16S ribosomal RNA
Rfam family: Bacterial small subunit ribosomal RNA
Source: RNAcentral
CCUACGGGUGGCAGCAGUGAGGAAUAUUGGUCAAUGGGCGCGAGUCUGAACCAGCCAAGUAGCGUGAAGGAUGACUGCCCUAUGGUUUGUAAACUUCUUUUAUAUGGGAGUAACACGGGGUAUGCAUACACUCUUAUAUGUACCAUAUGAAUAAGGAUCGGCUAACUCCGUGCCAGCAGCCGCGGUAAUACGGAGGAUCCGAGCGUUAUCCGGAUUUAUUGGGGUUAAAGGGAGCGUAGGUGGAUUGGUAAGUCAGUUGUGAAAGUUUGCGGCUCAACCGUAAAAUUGCAGUUGAAACUGGCAGUCUUGAGUACAGUAGAGGUUGGCGGAAUUCGUGGUGUAGCGGUGAAAUGCUUAGAUAUCACGAAGAACUCCGAUUGCGAAGGCAGCUCACUGGACUGCAACUGACACUGAUGCUCGAAAGUGUGGGGAUCAAACAGGAUUAGAUACCCGAGUAGUC